This 482-nucleotide ribosomal RNA is filed under the name uncultured bacterium. Its description in RNAcentral is "partial 16S ribosomal RNA". It matches the Rfam family "Bacterial small subunit ribosomal RNA", at positions 30 to 507 of the family's 1533-position model. The record is from RNAcentral.
AUUGAACGCUGGCGGCAUGCCUUACACAUGCAAGUCGAACGGUAACGGGCCUUCGGGUGCCGACGAGUGGCGAACGGGUGAGUAAUACAUCGGAACGUGCCCGAUCGUGGGGGAUAACGAGGCGAAAGCUUUGCUAAUACCGCAUACGAUCUACGGAUGAAAGCAGGGGACCGCAAGGCCUUGCGCGGACGGAGCGGCCGAUGGCAGAUUAGGUAGUUGGUGGGAUAAAAGCUUACCAAGCCGACGAUCUGUAGCUGGUCUGAGAGGAUGAUCAGCCACACUGGGACUGAGACACGGCCCAGACUCCUACGGGAGGCAGCAGUGGGGAAUUUUGGACAAUGGGCGCAAGCCUGAUCCAGCCAUGCCGCGUGCAGGAUGAAGGCCUUCGGGUUGUAAACUGCUUUUGUACGGAACGAAAAGCCUUCUUUUAAUACAGGAGGGUCAUGACGGUACCGUAAGACUAAGCACCGGCUAACUACGUG